This 284-nucleotide ribosomal RNA is filed under the name Escherichia coli. Its description in RNAcentral is "partial 16S ribosomal RNA". It matches the Rfam family "Bacterial small subunit ribosomal RNA", at positions 1 to 281 of the family's 1533-position model. Lineage: Bacteria; Pseudomonadati; Pseudomonadota; Gammaproteobacteria; Enterobacterales; Enterobacteriaceae. The record is from RNAcentral.
AAAUUGAAGAGUUUGAUCAUGGCUCAGAUUGAACGCUGGCGGCAGGCCUAACACAUGCAAGUCGAACGGUAACAGGAAACAGCUUGCUGUUUCGCUGACGAGUGGCGGACGGGUGAGUAAUGUCUGGGAAACUGCCUGAUGGAGGGGGAUAACUACUGGAAACGGUAGCUAAUACCGCAUAACGUCGCAAGACCAAAGAGGGGGACCCUCGGGCCUCUUGCCAUCGGAUGUGCCCAGAUGGGAUUAGCUUGUUGGUGAGGUAACGGCUCACCAAGGCGACGAUC